RNAcentral lists this ribosomal RNA (207 nucleotides) under uncultured bacterium. RNAcentral's name for it is "partial 16S ribosomal RNA". It matches the Rfam family "Bacterial small subunit ribosomal RNA", at positions 568 to 774 of the family's 1533-position model. The record is from RNAcentral.
UGCGUAGGUGGCCCGAUCAGUCAGAUGUGAAAGCCCCGGGCUUAACCUGGGAACUGCAUUUGAUACUGUCGGGCUAGAGUAUGGUAGAGGGAAGUGGAAUUCCGGGUGUAGCGGUGAAAUGCGUAGAUAUCCGGAGGAACACCAGUGGCGAAGGCGACUUCCUGGACCAAUACUGACACUGAGGCACGAAAGCGUGGGUAGCAAACA